RNAcentral lists this ribosomal RNA (397 nucleotides) under uncultured bacterium. RNAcentral describes it as "partial 16S ribosomal RNA". It matches the Rfam family "Bacterial small subunit ribosomal RNA", at positions 523 to 918 of the family's 1533-position model. The record is from RNAcentral.
AUACGUAGGGGGCGAGCGUUGUCCGGAAUCACUGGGCGUAAAGGGCGUGUAGGCGGCGGUGUAAGUCUGGAGUGAAAGUCCCGCAUUCAAUGUGGGAAUUGCUUUGGAUACUGCAGUGCUAGAGUGCGGAAGAGGUAAGUGGAAUUCCCAGUGUAGCGGUGAAAUGCGUAGAGAUUGGGAGGAACACCAGUGGCGAAGGCGACUUACUGGGCCGUAACUGACGCUGAGGCGCGAAAGCGUGGGGAGCGAACAGGAUUAGAUACCCUGGUAGUCCACACUGUAAACGAUGAAUGCUAGGUGUAGGGGGUAUCGACCCCUUCUGUGCCGCAGUCAACACAAUAAGCAUUCCGACUGGGGAGUACGGCCGCAAGGUUGAAACUCAAAUGAAUUGACGGGG